RNAcentral lists this long non-coding RNA (2526 nucleotides) under Homo sapiens (human). RNAcentral's name for it is "KHDC1 antisense RNA 1, transcript variant 24 (KHDC1-AS1)". The record is from RNAcentral. Lineage: Eukaryota; Metazoa; Chordata; Mammalia; Primates; Hominidae.
AAGCAACCCAGAGCCCUCCUCCCGCCUGCUCUGUGUAGGAGACAGCCUGCGGAGCCCACUGCCGGCGCGCAGAGAGCCCAGCAGCUCUUGAGUCCAGGAAGCAAGGGUGGGAGGAGGGACGAGCCAGUGGCAAUGACCCAGACCCGGACGACCCCCAUUGCUGAGCCAGCGGAGCUGCUUGGGUCCACGAGGCUGGUGUCAGACCUAUUGGGAGACCCUCUGCGUUAGUGAGAAAAACGGCAAGAAAUGGGAGCACGCGGAAACCUCCAAGACUAGAGCCACCAGAUGCCACCGACAGCACGCAGCUGGACCAGCACGGGGGAGGGCCUUCGUGGGUCGAGAGCUCGCUCGGGAGAUAGUUGGUGCUUUUCUUUCAGGAGAAGAAUCCCUGGCGGAGUCUGACCGUUCUCUGGCGCACAGCCCCGGGGGUGGGCACAGCAGCCGCCCCUGCUGAAGGGACUGACGCCUCCGACGACCAGCAGCCAAGUUAAACGCACUGUUCCGUGAGCAGCUUUGUUGGAGACAGCGCGGUUCACAUUCUCUUCCAACGGAGCCGCUGACUGCGGAGCUGGGAGGGGACGUGACAGAACCCAGCCAUCCAACGUCCCCCCACCCCUCCCCAGCUGGGACCUCCGGCUGCUUCCGGGCUGCGCUGGGUGGCGUCAAGGAGCCGCCCCUCUGGGCCGCGUCCCUCCCUCACGCCCUGCACACUGGCCCUGUGUGGCCGGCGGGGCGCCUAAAAGGGCGGAAGGAUGCAGGGGCGGAGGGGGCUCGGGAUUGCACGCCUAGCUCAGACCCCCCAGCCAGGACCCCUCGCGCUGUUGGACACGCCAGCCUCCCGACCCUGCGGCUCCUACGGGAGGUGACAAGGACCCUGCCAACCUGGCCUGAAUGGCCCAGUUUGAUACAGAUCAGGUUUUCAAUGAAUGAGACCGCGGUGUGGUCUAGGCGGAGGGAUGAGAGGAGGGGAUUCUGCUGGGAUAAGUGGGGGCGGGGUAAGGAGGGGAUUCUUUUCCUGGGCUGAGGAGAACGCAGGGACAAAGUACACAGGGGUAGUUGAGUGAGCAGGUGAGGCCCUAGGCUGGUUCCCCACCUUCUCAGGAUCGGAGCCACUCACUUCCUGGUACUCUCUGCAGUCUCCUGGCGUUAAAUAACAUCCCUUUGCUGGAGACUCUGGAUUCACAUCCAUAAUCGCAGCCUCCCCUACUCAUCCCCUCACGCUUCCCAUGAACUAACCUUGAAGGACCCGACCAGAGCCCUGACCUCCGUCCCACACACCUGCUACAUGGAAGGUGUUCUCCACAUCAGUUCAAGGCAGUGUCACUCUUCAGGAUGUUCAGGCUCUAAACCUUGGACUCCUCCUCCAGAUUUCUCUCUCCUUCCUUCUCCUUGUCUCUCCCUUGCACUUACGGUUCACUUUUCCUUCGUAGCUUUGUAGCUCAUUCCCCCUUCCACUUUCCACACCACCUUCUGGUCUGUUAAUUAAAUAUUACCUGGUUUCCACUGACACCUUCCCUGGGUUCCCAAUUGAAAAUCACAACAUCAUCCUCCUCCUCUGCUUUUUUUCUCCAAAUUAUAUCCUCACCCAAUUAUGUGUUAUUCUCAUUAAUCUUGCUUAAUUAAUUAGCAGACAUUAUUAAUGCCUGUUUCCCCUAUCACCACCACUAGACUAUGAACUCCUAAGGACUCCUUCCUUCCACCACUGUUGUACUCGCUUCACCUAGAACUGCUUGGCACAUACAAUGUGCUCCAUAAAUAUUUGUUGAAUGAAAGACUAGACACAACUUAGGAUUCACUCCCCCAUGUGGCAUCCAUAAGCCCUGUAUGCAGGUAAAAUGUCAGUGGGUUGACUAAAUACUGGAAGUGGAAAAAACUUCACCUCUUUGGUUUGCAGUUGUCUAGGAUAUUUAGGCCAAUGGAAAAUCCAGUUUUCCUUAGAAUUAAGCCAGUGCCGCCAGACUUGCCAGUUUACCAUGCUUGUCUGACUGGUCCUCAGCAUGGGUCAUACGUGUCCAAUGAAUUCAAACAAAAUCUUGAGAAGACACGAACCUUGCCCUUCGGCUGGGCGCGGUGGCUCACGCCUGUAAUCCCAGCACUUUGGGAGGCCGAGGCAGGCGGAUCACGAGGUCAGGAGAUCGAGACCAUCCUGGCUAACAUGGUGAAACCCCGUCUCUACUAAAAAUACAAAAAAUUAGCCGAGCGUGGUGGCGGGCGCCUGUAGUCCCAGCUACUCAGGAGGCUGAGGCAGGAGAAUGGCGUGAACCCGGGAGGCGGAGCUUGCAGUGAGUGAGCCGAGAUCGCACCCCUGCACUCCAGCCUGGGCGACAGAGCGAGACUCCGUAAAAAAACAAAAAAAAAACCUUGCCCUUCAUUCCCCAUUUCUAUCAUAAUCUACACAGAGUUUUGAACAGGCAUUUUAAAAUCAACAAUAUAUUAUUUACAAUUUUGUUAGUAUACAUAACUCUAACUCACUGUUAAAAAUCACCUGUCUUUAUAUCCAUUAAAUGACACUUGCAUAUGCUCCAA